RNAcentral lists this small RNA (335 nucleotides) under Arabidopsis thaliana (thale cress). RNAcentral's name for it is "ATSL220220". Lineage: Eukaryota; Viridiplantae; Streptophyta; Magnoliopsida; Brassicales; Brassicaceae. The record is from RNAcentral.
UUUGGUCGAAAAGUGAUAAUCUACAUACUAGAUUUUAACCUGCGGUAUACCGCAUGAACAAUUUACUUUUUAAAGGUAGUAUAUAUAAAAGUUUGUAAUGUGUAUCUAUUUAGUUUACAAUUGUUAUUAAGUAACGUCUUGCCAAAUCCGUCCCGCCAACCCGUCCCGUAAAAAAAACAUAUAUUUUAUUAAUGUUGAUCUUAUUUAUGAUAUAUUUAUAAAUCAUUGUUUAAAUAUUUUGUAAUUUUGUAGUAAUUAAAUGCUAUCAAUAUCUUUGCGGUUUGAUGAUUAUAAUCGAAUUGUUAUAGUCAUGCAGAAAAGCAAUAUCAAAAAUA